UACGAAGGGGGCUAGCGUUGCUCGGAAUCACUGGGCGUAAAGGGUGCGUAGGCGGGUCUUUAAGUCAGGGGUGAAAUCCUGGAGCUCAACUCCAGAACUGCCUUUGAUACUGAGGAUCUUGAGUUCGGGAGAGGUGAGUGGAACUGCGAGUGUAGAGUGAAAUCGUAGAUAUUCGCAAGAACACCAGUGGCGAAGGCGGCUCACUGGCCCGAUACUGACGCUGAGGCACGAAAGCGUGGGGAGCAAACAGGG
This 252-nucleotide ribosomal RNA is filed under the name uncultured bacterium. RNAcentral's name for it is "partial 16S ribosomal RNA". It matches the Rfam family "Bacterial small subunit ribosomal RNA", at positions 524 to 777 of the family's 1533-position model. The record is from RNAcentral.